This 60-nucleotide transfer RNA is filed under the name Hemicaecilius mockfordi. RNAcentral describes it as "tRNA-Ser". The record is from RNAcentral. Lineage: Eukaryota; Metazoa; Arthropoda; Insecta; Psocodea; Sphaeropsocidae.
AAGUCACCCCCAACCCUAAGCUUCUAACUUAGGAACAAAUGAUAGUCCAUUUGUGAUUUU